Molecule: ribosomal RNA, 253 nt
Filed under: uncultured bacterium
Lineage: Bacteria
Description: partial 16S ribosomal RNA
Rfam family: Bacterial small subunit ribosomal RNA
Source: RNAcentral
UACGGAGGAGGCAAGCGUUAUUCGGAAUUAUUGGGCGUAAAGGGCGCGUGGGCGGCUUGGCAAGUGGAAGGUGAAAUCCCUCGGCUUAACCGAGGAACUGCCCUCCAAACUGCUUCGCUUGAGACCGGGAGAGGUGAGUGGAAUUCCCAGUGUAGCGGUGAAAUGCGUAGAUAUUGGGAGGAACACCAGUGGCGAAGGCGGCUCACUGGACCGGUACUGACGCUGAUGCGCGAAAGCGUGGGGAGCAAACGGG